AGACCCGAAACCCGGUGAUCUAGCCAUGGGCAGGUUGAAGGUUGGGUAACACUAACUGGAGGACCGAACCGACUAAUGUUGAAAAAUUAGCGGAUGACCUGUGGCUGGGGGUGAAAGGCCAAUCAAACCGGGAGAUAGCUGGUUCUCCCCGAAAGCUAUUUAGGUAGCGCCUCGUGAAUUCAUCUCCGGGGGUAGAGCACUGUUUCGGCUAGGGGGCCAUCCCGGCUUACCAACCCGAUGCAAACUGCGAAUACCGGAGAAUGUUAUCACGGGAGACACACGGCGGGUGCUAACGUCCGUCGUGAAGAGGGAAACAACCCAGACCGCCAGCUAAGGUCCCAAAGUCAUGGUUAAGUGGGAAACGAUGUGGGAAGGCCCAGACAGCCAGGAUGUUGGCUUAGAAGCAGCCAUCAUUUAAAGAAAGCGUAAUAGCUCACUGGUCGAGUCGGCCUGCGCGGAAGAUGUAACGGGGCUAAACCAUGCACCGAAGCUGCGGCAGCGACACUGUGUGUUGUUGGGUAGGGGAGCGUUCUGUAAGCCUGUGAAGGUGGCCUGUGAGGGUUGCUGGAGGUAUCAGAAGUGCGAAUGCUGACAUAAGUAACGAUAAAGCGGGUGAAAAGCCCGCUCGCCGGAAGACCAAGGGUUCCUGUCCAACGUUAAUCGGGGCAGGGUGAGUCGACCCCUAAGGCGAGGCCGAAAGGCGUAGUCGAUGGGAAACAGGUUAAUAUUCCUGUACUUGGUGUUACUGCGAAGGGGGGACGGAGAAGGCUAUGUUGGCCGGGCGACGGUUGUCCCGGUUUAAGCGUGUAGGUGUGUGUUCCAGGUAAAUCCGGUUCACUUUAACACUGAGGCGUGAUGACGAGGCACUACGGUGCUGAAGCAACAAAUGCCCUGCUUCCAGGAAAAGCCUCUAAGCAUCAGGUAACAUCAAAUCGUACCCCAAACCGACACAGGUGGUCAGGUAGAGAAUACCAAGGCGCUUGAGAGAACUCGGGUGAAGGAACUAGGCAAAAUGGUGCCGUAACUUCGGGAGAAGGCACGCUGACACGUAGGUGAAGUGAUUUACUCAUGGAGCUGAAGUCAGUCGAAGAUACCAGCUGGCUGCAACUGUUUAUUAAAAACACAGCACUGUGCAAACACGAAAGUGGACGUAUACGGUGUGACGCCUGCCCGGUGCCGGAAGGUUAAUUGAUGGGGUCAGCGCAAGCGAAGCUCCUGAUCGAAGCCCCGGUAAACGGCGGCCGUAACUAUAACGGUCCUAAGGUAGCGAAAUUCCUUGUCGGGUAAGUUCCGACCUGCACGAAUGGCGUAAUGAUGGCCAGGCUGUCUCCACCCGAGACUCAGUGAAAUUGAACUCGCUGUGAAGAUGCAGUGUACCCGCGGCAAGACGGAAAGACCCCGUGAACCUUUACUAUAGCUUGACACUGAACAUUGAGCCUUGAUGUGUAG
Molecule: ribosomal RNA, 1449 nt
Filed under: Salmonella enterica
Lineage: Bacteria; Pseudomonadati; Pseudomonadota; Gammaproteobacteria; Enterobacterales; Enterobacteriaceae
Also listed under: 1 other name
Description: partial 23S ribosomal RNA
Rfam family: Bacterial large subunit ribosomal RNA
Source: RNAcentral